Molecule: long non-coding RNA, 1814 nt
Organism: Vulpes vulpes (red fox)
Lineage: Eukaryota; Metazoa; Chordata; Mammalia; Carnivora; Canidae
Source: Ensembl
CAAUACCCUCGUACCAGCAGCACCAGCAGCGGAAAGCAGUUUCAACCAACUUCCUCCGGCGGUGGGUUCGCGACCGCGGGGCGGAGAAGCCGGAACCUCAGGGUCACCAGGUGCGCCCGGUUCCCCCUCCUCCCCUCACUGAGGGGAUCUCCGCUCGCCAGACCCCGGGCCGGGGGCAACGGCGACCCACAGCCGCUCCGACGCCCAAAGUCGCAUCCCACCCGGCAGCCCCUUAACGACAGCCGACAGCGCCGUCGCCACCAGCCUCGUUGCUCCGGCUGGCGCUUCAGCCUAGCGGGCCCCAGCCGUCUUCGCCAUGGAGAGUUCCCCGUCCCGAAGUGGGCAGGCGGUGGGAGAGAAAGAGCAGCAGGGUGGAGACUCCUCCGGCAGCAGGGGAGGGAGAAGAGGAAAGGCGAAAGCGAAGGGCGGGUGCGGAGCUGUGCCAGCUGCUGCCGCCUCUUGGGCCACGGGGCCCGACCCGCUCCGCUCAGAGGCGCUGUAGGCGGUCUAGCCCCGCAUCCCCGGCUCUCCUCGGCGCGGCCCGACGCCCGGAUCCGACCCUGCCAAGAGCUGCUCCCCGCGGGACAGCCUCACUCUCCCAUUUUGUACCGUCGCUGCUGGGGCUGCUGCCGCGCUGUCCGGCGGGGCAGGGCGAGGUCGGUGCCCGAUGGAGACUUAGGAGAGGAAAGGCUGGAGAGCGGGCGGCGGAGGAAGACGAGGCUCGGGUCCCGGCGGCUGCUGAUGGGGGAACUUCUGGGAGGGGCUGCGUCCCCAGCUCUGGAGAGGGCGAGUCGCGGCAGCGAAUGCCUGNCCCCGGCCGGUUCUGAAGAGCCGAGGGGAGCUCUGGAGCUGUAGCAGAGGUCGAGGCGGGCUAGGCGAGGGUGGGGCGGGCAGGGGCGCCGAGCUCUUUCGGUCUCUGGUCGUAUCCUGGCAGCUGCCUCCACUGCCCUUCCUCUGGGCGGCUGCGGUCCAGAGCUCUCUGACCGGAAAGAGAGGGUGCUUGUUAUUAUUUUGCAAAUAGGUUCUUUUUUAGGCAAGAUGCCUUUUCACCGACAAGGCAGCAUUUUAGCAUCAGCUAAUGAGCUGGUUUUCUGUAGUAUUUCACCGUCGGCCCUCCGGGAACACCACCACGUUUAAACCGUCUGCGAUUCCAUGGGAAAAUGACGAAGCCAUGCAGUACUCAAGCCUCCUGAGCCGAGCGUGUGUACCAGGGGAGCACUAAAUACGGACUCCGGAAGAAAUAGUCCGUAGAAAUCAAGUUCAGUUUGCUUUUUUUUUUUUUUUAAUCUCAGAAUCAAUAUUUUAAGUUACUCCUACUAGUUCUUCCGCACCAUUAUUCAUUCCCAUUGUAGUUCUCUUCCUUUUUUUUUUUUUUUUUUUAAGAUUUUAUUUAUUCAUGAGAGACACAGAGAAGGGGGGCCAGACAGAAGCAGGCUCCAUGCAGGGAGCCCCACUAGGGUCUCGAUCCCGGGUAUCCAGGAUCACGCCCUGGGCCGAAGGCAGGCGCUUAACCGCUAAGCCACCCAGGGAUCCCCUGUAGUUCUCUUCUUGAUGUGUGAUCCUGCAAGUUCAGUGAAACUUAAAAUUGUGAUUUUUAACAGAACCAAUGUAGAAUAUGAAAAUUAUGAGCAUUUCCUCUUAAGUCAAUUGCUUCAUUGACUGUGGUGUGAGAAGGUAAAGACUUGUUGCUCAGUCUGCUCAUGUUCUUCACGGCUAUGAGCGGGAAAUCUACCUUAUUUCUAAUCAAUCUUUAGUUUUGCUCAUAGGUCAGAUUAAAGAUUGCUAGAAAUAAAAAACGUGGAUGUUUUACCCCA